GCAUAUCAAUAAGCGGAGGAAAAGAAACCAACAGGGAUUGCCUCAGUAACGGCGAGUGAAGCGGCAACAGCUCAAAUUUGAAAUCUGGCCCUAGGCCCGAGUUGUAAUUUGCAGAGGAUGUUUCUGGCGAGGUGCCUUCCGAGUGCCCUGGAACGGGACGCCAUAGAGGGUGAGAGCCCCGUACGGUUGGUCGCUAAGCCUCUGUGAAACUCCUUCGACGAGUCGAGUAGUUUGGGAAUGCUGCUCUAAAUGGGAGGUAUACGUCUUCUAAAGCUAAAUACCGGCCAGAGACCGAUAGCGCACAAGUAGAGUGAUCGAAAGAUGAAAAGCACUUUGAAAAGAGGGUUAAAUAGUACGUGAAAUUGUUGAAAGGGAAGCGCUCAUGACCAGACUUGGGCCGGUUGAUCAUCCGCCGUUCUCGGCGGUGCACUCUGCCGGCUCAGGCCAGCAUCAGUUUGGUCCGGGGGAUAAAGGUGUAGGGAAUGUGGCUCCCCCCGGGGAGUGUUAUAGCCCUGCGCGUAAUACCCUGGACUGGACUGAGGUUCGCGCAUCUGCAAGGAUGCUGGCGUAAUGGUUAUCAGUGACCCGUCUUGAAACACGGACCAAGGAGUCGUCUUCGUAUGCGAGUGUUCGGGUGUCAAACCCCUACGCGUAAUGAAAGUGAACGUAGGAGAGAGCUUCGGCGCAUCUCCGACCGAUCCUGAUGUUCUCGGAUGGAUUUGAGUAAGAGCAUACGGGGCCGGACCCGAAAGAAGGUGAACUAUGCCUGUAUAGGGUGAAGCCAGAGGAAACUCUGGUGGAGGCUCGCAGCGGUUCUGACGUGCAAAUCGAUCGUCAAAUAUGGGCAUGGGGGGCGAAAGACUAAUCGAACCUUCUAGUAGCUGGUUUCCGCGA
RNAcentral lists this ribosomal RNA (894 nucleotides) under Hydropisphaera peziza. RNAcentral describes it as "LSU rRNA". It matches the Rfam family "Eukaryotic large subunit ribosomal RNA", at positions 38 to 963 of the family's 3401-position model. Lineage: Eukaryota; Fungi; Ascomycota; Sordariomycetes; Hypocreales; Bionectriaceae. The record is from RNAcentral.